RNA transcript from Sus scrofa (pig), 4682 nucleotides. It is a transcript of the gene named POU domain, class 5, transcription factor 1 pseudogene, with no coding region annotated. Lineage: Eukaryota; Metazoa; Chordata; Mammalia; Artiodactyla; Suidae. The record is from RefSeq and is a predicted model, not a curated record.
GGCAAAGCCGGAUCCUUAACCCACUGAGCAAGGCCAGGGAUGGAACCCACAACCUCAUGGCUCCUAGUUCCUAACCACUGAGCCACGAUGGGAACUCUGAAUCUUGCUUCUUCUUAUCAAGUGAGAAGUCUCAAUGCAUUUUCAUACGUCUAUAGAAUAUUCUGUGUUAUACAGGAGAAGCCUAUUCUAAGGGAAACCUGGAAGAGAAAUCCAAUAGGGUCUCAUGAACCCCCUAGGCUCAUGUUACUCUAACAGGAAGUCACAUUAGAAAUGAAUCUCAGUGUAAUAUAGCUAACAAAAAAGUGCUUGUGAAAGCGUGUUAACUUACUCAGAAUCACAGGCCAAACAGUCUCCUUGGAGAGCUCUGAUUUUACCGGGCCCCUGGCUUGGGGGUGCCUUCCUUCACCAUCGUGGGACACCUGGCUUCCGACUUUGCCCUUUCGCUCCCCCAGGCGGUGGAGGCGAUGGGCCAGAAAGGCCAGAGCCAGGCUGGGUUGAUCCUCUGACCUGGCUGUGCUUCCAAGGGCCUCCUGGUGGGUCAGGGAUCUGGCGGGGGGCUGCUGGACGCAGAGGUGGGGAGGCUUCUCUCAUGCCCCCCGCCCUAGGACUUCUGCGGAGGGAUGGCCUACUGUGCACCUCAGGUCAGAGAGGGGCUGGUGCCCCAAGGCGGCCUGGAGACCCCUCAGCCCUAGGGCCAGGCAGGAGUCGGGGUGGGGAGCAACUCCGAGGGGGCCUCCCUGGAGCCCUAUGCCACCCCCGUUGGCACUGCACAGCUGGACAAGGAGAAACUAGAGCCGAAUCCUGAGAAGUCCCAGGACAUCAAAACGCUUCAGAAAGACCUUGAACAAUUUGCCAAGCUUCUAAAGCAGAAGAGGAUCACCCUGGGAUACACCCAGGCCGAUGUGGGGCUCACCCUGUUCUCUUUGGGAAGGUGUUCAGCCAAAUGACCAUCUGCAGUUUUGAGGCUUUGAAGCUCAGUUUCAGGAACACAUGUAAGCUGCAGCCCCUGCUGCUGAAGUGGGUAGAGGAAGCUGCCAACAAUGAGAAUCUGCAGGAGAUGUGCAAGGCAGAGACCCUCAUGCAGCCCCGAAGAGAAAGCGCACGAGUAUCGAGAACCGAAUGAGAGGCAACCCGGAGAGCAUGUUCUUGCAGUACCUGCAGCCCACCCUGCAGUAGAUCAGCCGCAUCGCCCAGCACCUCAGGCUAGAGAAGGAUGUGGUCCGAGUGUAGUUCUGUAGCCGUCGCCAGAAGGGCAAACGAUGAUCAAGCAGUGACUUUCUCAAGGGGAGGAUUUUUGAGGCUGUUGCAUCUCCUUUCCCAGGGGAACCAGUAUCCUUUCCUCUCCUCUGGUGCCUGGGCCCCAUUAUGGUAUAUGGGGGCCCUCACUUCACCACGCUGCACUCCUCCGUCCCUUUCCCUGAGGGCGAGGCCUUUCCCUCGGAGUCUGUCAUCACUCUGGGCUCUCAUGCAUUCAAACAGAGGUGCCUGCCCUUCCCAGGAGUUGAGGGGUGAGGAAGGGGUGAGCCAGGGAGAGAAACCUGGGGUUUGUAUCAGGGCUUUGGAAUUAAGAUCUUCAUUCACUAAGAAAGGAAUUGGGAACACAAAGGGUUUGGAGGGACAGGGAGUGUAGGAGAACUGGAUGGAGGGAAAGUGAAGUUCAGUGAUGGUCUUGAUUUUAAUCCCCACAUCACUCAUCACUUUGUUCUUAAAUAAAGCCUGGGACUCAGCGAAAACAGCAAACAAACAAACAAACAAAAAAGAAUCACAAUUAGAACAUAUUAGACACAGGGCUAAAACCACUUCUGUGGACACGACCAGAACUUUUCCUCUUGACCAGCCUGACUCCCAGGAGUCUUUCCUUGAAUUGUCAGUGUGCACAUUUUCUACAGUGGCUUUAGUAUAGUUAACUGAACAGCUUAAUUUUCAACUAAAGUCAACUUCUAGUGUUAUUUCUUUUAUGAUGUUCUUAUACAUAUUUUGCUAGAGUUGGAAAACUAUUUAAGCAAAUAUGUUUCAUUUAGAUAGGUCAGAACUAGGAAAUUUAAGAUUAAUCUCUGUUGCUGCAGAAAGAGAGAGUCCUCAAUUUGGGAUCAAUUAAUAUGAUUGUAAUAAAUGAGAAAGAUUUGCAUUGCUGUUUUGAUGAGCAGAUGGCCUGCCGCUUUAGUGAGCAGGAUGGGCUACUGGGGUUAAGGUUGCCUAGAGCACUACCAGGAGGAGAAAGGCUGAUGGAAGAAUUAAAAUUGGCUUAGGGUAGGUGGGGGAGUUCUAAUGGAGAGGAUUGAAAAUAAAAUGUAGAAUAUGCUAUUAUUUAAUAAUAGCAAUUAUUUAAAUAAUAGCAAUUAUUUAAUAAUAGCAGUCAUUUUAUGAAGACUUUUAGUUCCUUAUCUCCUCCUUCCACCCCAACGGCUAUCUAUGCCAGGAAAGAUGUGAGAGUGGAGGUGGUGGGAGGAUGUUUUUCUUUCCCUUUGGAAGUGGCCUCAACAGCACACAGAAAAGCUUAGAGUAGCGGUGGGAGAAAAAGCAAUGAAAUUUCUUUGGCAAAUCAAUACACAUUUUCUUCUUCCUUUGAGGUCUUUAUCCUUCAUUUUAGACCAUGUUGUAUGCAUUCCACUGGUCUCAACACUUCUGCAGUAAUGCUAAAGAAGUAGAUUGUGGGAGUUCCCAUCGUGGCUUAGCAGAAACAAAUCUGACUAGUAUCCAUGAGGACGCAGAUUCAAUCCCUGGCCUCACUCAGUCCGCUAAGGAUCUGGCAUUGCUGUGAGCUCUGGUGUUAGGUCGCAGAUGCGGCUCUGAUCCUGCAUUGCUGGGGCUAUGGCUAGGCCAGCAGCUGUAGCUCUGAUUCGACCCCUAUUCUGGGAACUUCCAUAUGCCGCGGGUGUGGCCCUAAAAAGACAAAAAAAAAAAAAAAAAAAAAAAAAAGUAGAUUGCUUACUUUGUUCUUUUAAUUAAAAUAUAGCUGAUUUACAAUGUUUCUUCAGUUUCUAUUAUACAGCAAAGUGACCCAAUCACACACAGUUCCUUGUGCUAUACAGUAAAUCCCCAUUUCCCAUCUACUCUAAAUAUGACAGUUUGUAUCCAAAAUCCCUGAACUCCCUGUCUAUCCCACUCCCUCCCACCUCCCCACUAGAUUGCAUUCUAAAUAAAGACAUAUGAGAUAUAUACAAAUAGCAAUUUGAAUUGAGUCACAUGGCAGAUGUCGGAGGAUUAGAAAAGUUGCAAGGGCUGCUGAUGCCUUGAAUUUCUCAGGAAAGCAUGCCUAUAUUUUUAUAGUUAAAAUAAGUUUACUUGAGAAGAAACCUGGAUAGCCAAAAAUUAGAAUAUUAGCUUUGGCUUCAUCUCUAAUAUCUUCCUCAUAUUUAUGAUUUUUCUGUAAAAUAAUAAUAUGUAGAUGUUAUAUAUAACUGAAUCUUAAAGAUACAUUUACUUUUAUGUGCAUUGUACAAAAAGCAUGUGAAUAUGUUUUUCUCUUGAUUGAAACAAUCACGGUUCAUUUCUCUAUAAUCAUAUACUCUGUUGCAUCACUUUAUGAUGGAGAGAAGUCAACACUUCAGAGAACAGGCCAACAUAUAGCAGAUAUAACUGCAAAAAAUAUUUUUGAGAGGAAGGUCUCAUUGAAAAUGCAAUUUGGGAAGCUUCUGGUAGGGUCACUGGAGAAUACAGUCAAACUGAUAUGUUUAAACUGUUCAAAUAUACUUAGAGAAAAUAGUUCCAGGUUCAAUCUGGAAGAGAUUGAGAGGUGAAGCAGAAACAAAGCAGGGGAAUAGAUAUCAGUAACAUUUAUGGGAUGAGUAUCUGAAUAACUUUACUCACUAAGAUUCAAAAAAGACAAAUCAAUCAUCAUGAUCAAUGAAGAAAUCCGAUACUGCAAAUCUGGAUUGUGGGUUUAAUAGAAGAACCAAUAUUUUGCUGUAGGAAAGAAACAGUGUCUUGCUGGGUAAUAUCUUGUGGUCACUGUAGCCCUGGCCCUCAGGAAAAUACUUGGCCUAAUAUACAGUCUUGUAAGUGAAACAAGAGUUUAGUGAAUAAAUGAAAACGAUUGGGGGACCGUUCAAAGGUUUUGAACAGGAAAAUUCAAUGACUGGGAUAACAUUUUAGAAAGGUCACUCUGGCUCAAUAGGGAUAAUAGAUGUGCUCUGGGAGUGAUUGUAAACAGCCAGGUUAUUGCAGAAACAUAGAUGAGAACUGCAGGGGGAAUGAUUAGGAUUGUUUAAAUGAGAAUAAAGAGAAGAAGAUAGAUGUGAGAGGUGUUUGAAUGGAUGAAUCACCAUACCUUGGCUAGUGGAAGUAUAUAGUGUGAGAGUGAGGGAGGGGCUGGGAUGGAGUGCUCCAGGUUUCUGACUUGCACAAAAGGAUGAUAGGUGGAGCCAACAACUAAACCAGGAAACCUAAAAAGAAGAUUAACUUGGGGGAUGGGCAAUGGCAUGAUAAUGAGUUCAGUUGUAAUGGGUUAAAUUUGAUAUCUCUGGACUAUCCAAGUAAAGAUGAUCUCAAAAAAGAGACCUGACCUAGCAACGUUGCGAUAUGGGUUUUACCAGCCUAGAUUUGGCUAUUAAAACCAUGGAAGGCAAUAAAAUUGCCCAAAGGAAAUAUACAUAGGAAGGAAAUAAAGGGAAAGUCUGAAGAAAGUCUACACUAAAGGAGAAUACAAAAAAAAAAAAAAAAAAAGAAAAGGAGCUCACACA